RNAcentral lists this microRNA (21 nucleotides) under Anolis carolinensis (green anole). RNAcentral's name for it is "aca-miR-216b-3p". Its record names the gene aca-miR-216b-3p. Lineage: Eukaryota; Metazoa; Chordata; Lepidosauria; Squamata; Anolidae. The record is from miRBase by way of RNAcentral.
ACAGUUACCAGCAGAGGUUCU